RNAcentral lists this long non-coding RNA (206 nucleotides) under Musa acuminata (dwarf banana). RNAcentral describes it as "long non-coding RNA (MACU_LNC011542)". Lineage: Eukaryota; Viridiplantae; Streptophyta; Magnoliopsida; Zingiberales; Musaceae. The record is from RNAcentral.
AUUUUCGGGGUCCUGGCGAUGCCACCGGCAUAACUGGGCGGUACUACCGCUUGUCAUCUGUCACUGAGCGAUACUACUGCUCAGUCUAGGCGAUACUACCGCCUAAUUGCGCUCGAAGACUGGGUUCAGGCAGUACCACCGCCUUACAAGGGCGGUACCACCACUAGUAGUAAUAACUGCCGGCAGUACCACUGCCUGACAGGGGC